RNAcentral lists this long non-coding RNA (1498 nucleotides) under Piliocolobus tephrosceles (Ugandan red Colobus). Its description in RNAcentral is "lncRNA (ENSPTEG00000025093.1)". The record is from RNAcentral. Lineage: Eukaryota; Metazoa; Chordata; Mammalia; Primates; Cercopithecidae.
AAAAAUUAUUUUUUUUAUUUUUUAAAAAAUAAUGCUUAGUUUUAUAUUGAACAUAAUUUAUUAAAACAUUGAUAACAAAAAUAACUUAGUAGAAACAUCUCCCUAGUACCUUUCUAAUCAUAUAUAACAUUUUUUUUUUUUUAUAAAUGUUGUUUUAGUUCAUACUUUUUUUGUUUUCUUUACAUUGAAAGUAAUUUUUUUUUUUUUUUUUUUUUUUUUAUGAUAAUAUUUUACAUCAUUAUUUCUAGAUUUAAAUAUAUAUUUGUUCUAUUGCUUAUUAAUAAAAUUAUAUAACGACACAAUUUAUAUUUUUAAAAAUAUAUAAGUUAAAAUUUAACUAAAAAAAAAAAAAACUAUGGUAUAAUGUAUAAAAACCAUUUAGUAACGCGUAAAACUAUUAAAAAGUAUUAACUAAAGUCAUUAUUAAAUCGCAUUUUUAUGAUAAAAGAAUGCUUACUAAAAUUUAUAAAAUAAUUAAUGUUUCAUUUUUUAUAUGGGCAUGGACUAAUAACAGCAAAGCUUGCCUGGAUAAUAUAUUUACCGCAAACUAUAGUAGAUCACUGGCUCAACAUGAUAUUUCGCCAAACGUACGGAAUGAUUAUUCUUAUUCAGCGCAUAAUGACAAUAACCACUUUUUUAACUAUUUUGAACAAUAUAUGAUUAGUGAUAAAGAGUCAAAUAAGGAUGCUCUUAAAAUUAAAGAAUAUAAAAAUAACAAAGCAAUUUAUUUAACCAAUAUUAAAAAUGAAUUAACUAAAAUAUUAGGUAACCGACAUGAACCUCUAAUAAAGAAUACACUAAAAAAAAAUCAAAACAUACAAGAUAAGGAUUUACUAGAAAUAUAUGACCUUAAUAAACAUGCCAUUGCAAGUGAAGAUUAUUUACAAAUUAUAUAUGAAAGUUGUGAGUUACUGAAAAAUGAGCACUCUUAUAAUAAUGAACAUGCUGAAAUAUAUUACGACUCGAUAUUAUACUUAUUGAACAAAUAUUUCUUUCUUACUAACAGUAAAAAAGAUUUUAAAGAACGCCUUAGGCACUUACAACAAGUUGGUGAGGAACAACUAAUAUUUAAAAAAAAUAAAUACAAAUUCAAAAUGAAAUAUUUAAAUAUAUUUAAGCUCAAUAAUAAAAUAAAUAAAGAAUUGAAAACUAUGAUAUUGGAACUAAUACUAAAGGAUGAAAUUGGUGCAACUGCACGCAAACCAUUUAAAUAUAGAGCUAAGCUUGUUAGCUAUGCAUUAAUGAAUCCAAUUUUAGUAUUUAUAAUUUUAGUUAUGGCCAUCCUAUUGGGGGGAUAUCAUUUGGUGAUACCAUUAUUGGGAGUGUUCCUAUUAACGUAUGUACAUUCUUUAUAUAAAGUUUAUAGAUACAAAAAAUCCAUACAAGGAAUUAUUCAAGGGUCAAAACUAUCAAUCAGAGAAAAUUUUAAUUAACAAUAAGUACCAUAAAAAAUUUAUAACGCAAUAAAAUAAUUGUUCCAUAAUAAUUUUAAUAUUGU